RNAcentral lists this ribosomal RNA (1192 nucleotides) under Symmetriapelta wareni. RNAcentral's name for it is "SSU rRNA". It matches the Rfam family "Eukaryotic small subunit ribosomal RNA", at positions 4 to 1159 of the family's 1831-position model. Lineage: Eukaryota; Metazoa; Mollusca; Gastropoda; Neomphalida; Peltospiridae. The record is from RNAcentral.
CUGGUUGAUUCUGCCAGUAAUCAUAUGCUUGUCUCAAAGAUUAAGCCAUGCAUGUCUACGUACACACUCUAGCACGGUGAAACUGCGGAUGGCUCAUUAGAUCAGUUAUGGUUCCUUAGACGAUACAAUCCUACUUGGAUAACUGUGGUAAUUCUAGAGCUAAUACAUGCACAGAAGCUCCGACCCUCUCGCGAGGGAGGGUGAGAGCGCGUUUAUCAGUCCAACAGACCAGUCGGGCCGCAAGGUCCGUCCUUUUUGGUGACUCUGGAUAACCCUUGCCGAUCGCACGGCCACGAGCCGGCGACGCGUCUAUCAAGUGUCUGCCCUAUCACACUUUCGAUGGUAAGAGAUGUGCCUACCAUGGUGACAACGGGUAACGGGGAAUCAGGGUUCGAUUACGGAGAAGGAGCCUGAGAAACGGCUACCACAUCCAAGGAAGGCAGCAGGCGCGCAAAUUACCCAAUCUCGAUACGAGGAGGUAGUGACGAAAAAUAACAAUACGGGACUCUUUCGAGGCCCCGUAAUUGGAAUGAGUGUACUCUAAACGUGUGCACGAGGACCUAUUGGAGGGCAAGUCUGGUGCCAGCAGCCGCGGUAAUUCCAGCUCCAAUAGCGUAUAUUAAAGCUGUUGUGGUUAAAAAGCUCGUAGUUGGAUCUCAGGGUCGUUUGCGUCGGUCCCUUGCUGAAAUGGCUCGGGUACUGCGCGGUGUCGUCCCCCUUGCCAGACCUCUCAAAAAGGUUGCUCUUGACUGAGUGGCCUGCUCGAGUGGCUGGAGAGUUUACUUUGAAAAAAUUAGAGUGUUCAAAGCAGGCACAGCCCGCCUGUAUAAUGGUGCAUGGAAUAAUGGAAUAGGACCCCGGAUCCUAUUUUGCUGGUUUUUGGAGCUCAGGGGUAAUGAUUAAGAGGAACAGGGCGGGGGCAUCCGUAUUACGGCGUUAGAGGUGAAAUUCUUGGAUCGUCGUAAGACGCCCUACAGCGAAAGCAUCUGCCAAGUAUGUUUUCAUUAAUCAAGAACGAAAGUCAGAGGUUCGAAGACGAUCAGAUACCGUCGUAGUUCUGACCGUAAACUAUGCCAACUGGCAGCCCGUCGGCGUUGCUCUAUUCGACUCGGCGGGAGGCCUACCCGAAAGGAAAGUCUACGGGUUCCAGGGGAAGUAUGGUUGCAAAGCUGAAACUUAAAGGAAUUGACGG